Long non-coding RNA from Melanotaenia boesemani (Boeseman's rainbowfish), 3998 nucleotides. RefSeq lists it as uncharacterized. The record is from RefSeq and is a predicted model, not a curated record. The transcript is spliced from 5 exons. NCBI's taxonomy places the organism in Eukaryota, Metazoa, Chordata, Actinopteri, Atheriniformes, Melanotaeniidae.
UCUCCCCUUGAACACUGAGCAGAAGGCUGGGGCUGAGGGAGGCAGAGAAGAGGGGAAGGCAGGCUGGAGAAGAGGCUGGGAGAGGGAGAACUGAGGCUGGGUUAGGAACUCCAAAGCUGGGGGGAUAAGGAAGAUGGCAGGCCAGGGAAGAAUAGAAAAAGUGGGAAAGAGGAAGGGCAGGGUGGAACCCAUCUAAGGUGAGAGAAAGCUGAGGGAGAUGGAGGCUGAUUAGAGGUUCAGCUAUGACACCCUUGUGAUGAAAGUGCUGUAGCUGGAAGAGGAAUGCUAAGCUAAAUAUAGGAGUAGAAUGGCAAGUAGAAAAAAUUGUUGAUAGCGAUGGAAAUGUAAGAAGUGGAGGGAAGAUUCUGACUAGAGUGAUAGGUGUGAAAAACAAUGUGAAACAUUUCUUACCAGCACUGAUAUGAAAGAAGUACUGGACAUCUAUUUAAGCUGAGGGACCAGAUACAGGAGUAGGUUAGGCUUAGUCUGGAUAAAGAAAAGAUAAACAACAAGGGAGACCACUAAAGAUCAAAACAGAGGCAGGAAAAACAGAGAAAAGCAACGUAAUAUCAGCGAGGACUCCAUCUUUCUUUACCUGCUAUGGAUGUAAAGCUGAUUUUUUAACAGCAGCUGACGUCCAAUCAGACAUCAGGAUCACUGCCCUUGUCAUAAUGACAACCAUGACAUCAUGACAAGGGCUAGCGGAGAGAAGACAGCGGAGCUUCAGACAGAGAGCGGGGCUGCGCAGGGACUGUUCUCCGACCACAACGCACCGGCUGUCGGAUCGAGCCCGCGCGGAUUACCGGGGCUACGGAGGGUGGCAACACGCAGUACGCGCUGAAAGAUGGGCGCCAGCGACCGGAGCUCUACCCCGGACCGACUGAAGCUGCUUCAUCGGCUGAAGCGAGAGGAAGAUAUGAAGGAGGUUGACCGAAAUGGCUUCUUGUUUAAUUUCUGCCAAUCAAGAAGAGAGGAGGACUACUCCCAAACAGGCAUGUCUGCGGAUGGUCCCCAUCAAGCCAAAGUUUCCUAAAAAGUGGGGAAGAUUUUUCCACCAUAAUACCCAACAUCCCCAGAUAAACUUCCAGAGAUCCACAGAAGCUUGUUGGUCCCCUGUUGAGAUAAUGGCCAUAAUUUGCUUUGGUGCCUGCAGCCAUACCACAUGUCGUAUCCUCCCAGUAAAAUGGAAAUACGGGCGGUCAGAAGUGUUAAUCUGAGCUAUUCAGAUAGUUCACAUGCAAAAAGUCAAAUAUGUUGUAGGUGAUGCUGAUGAUGUAACAUCAAUCCAGCAGAAGAGAAGAGGAAGAUGCAGACAUUUCACACACACAUAGACACACAUAUCAGAGUAAAUGGAAGUGCAAUGUCAGGGGUGGGAACCCUUUCCAGGUGAAUAACACCUGAUUAUACUGGAUCGAGUUAAACUGGAAGGACAUGGAUAGAAGUGAAAAUGAUGCUCCAGCUGGAAAACUCUCAUAAAAAAGACUAAAUAACCUUGAAAUAAUGCAGAUAAAAACAUGCUUUGGAAUAUUUAUUUUUGCAGGUUUAGCAGUAUGUGGUGUUUACAUUUACAUUAUAUUAUGUGAAAUAAUUCUCUUGUGUGCAUUUUGUCAUUAUUUUCUUAAGUUCACGUAUCUCUUCUUUCACUUUCCACUUAAUUUAUGACAGAGUUGUGUAUUUAAAUGUCACUUAAUUAUGUCCAUUUUACUGAAAAACAUAACUCAGAUCUAUUUUGAACUAUUUGGUUUUGUUUGUUCUUCAAGAUCAGAAAAAAAAAUUACACCCCUUUUCCUCCCCUAGUCUCAGUCUUUGAACUGUUGUGGGGAUUGAGGAUAAACACUUUCAAGGAUAACUGUUCUAUAAUUGCUCUGUGAUUCUUUUUUUAUACUCUUAUUCACACUGAAGGAAUACAAAUAAAUUAUGUUUUUCUGUGGCCAAUUAUGUUAUCCAUAAACCUGUUAUUAAGGCCGUACUUUACAUUUAACCCGUUUUCCCCUUAGUUGUAGAUCACUGUUAUCAUCCCACCAAGACAUGAAAUAAAAAAAAUAGUUUUUCCCCCUUUUUCUCCCAAGAUAAACAUCCUUUGUUGUGUAUUUGUGCAGUAUGUUAUUUAUAAUGUGUUUCCUGAAUCAUUUUCUUUCAUCAACUUCUUUUGAUUUUCCUGAGAUAUGAUCAACUAAUGUGUUGGUAUUUUAAAUCUUGACAAUAUUAAUUAACUAAUUUGUUUCUGUAUCAUUAAACAACAAGAACCGAUGAGGACUGUUAAAUCAUAGCACAACACUUUUAAAGUUUUCAACAUGCUUCAGGUGGUUUGGAAUCAUUUCAUUGUCCCAUGGAGAAGAGAUAAGUUCAAAUAUUGACUCUAUUCUUUUUGUAUUUGUUUCUUUUGUUUUUGUUGUUUUCUUUUAUAGCUCGGUUAGCUAAGCAGUUGUUCCUCAGCUGAAGGAUUAGUGGUUCAAUCUCUGGUCCCGGCAUCUCUUCACCACUGAGGCAUUGUUAUAGUGUUAUAGAUUUUUUUUCUUUUUUGUCCAGAGAAAUUCACAUUUCUUACUUUCAAUAUUUGUUACGUAUAACCUUUGUAAAUCAGCUGGUGUUCCCCUAUGAUCAAAUGCUUAUUGAUCUUCUAAUACAGGCUACUACAUAAUAAACAUCAUCCACAUUUGAUAUAUCUCUUUAGAUUUAUUAAAUGGAAUAGAUUUAUUAAAAUGGGAUGCACACAUUAAAAACUUCCCAUAGCGUUUAUCCUUUUUUUUUCAUGUCAUCAGUACAAAGAUUCAAUAAUUUUUAAACACAUUUAAAUGAACUAAAUUGUGCUCCUGGCUACUCGCAGCAGUGAGUGUAAUUGAUCACAUAGCUGUGGUCAUAACUCACAUUCGUACGGGGAAACUAACACCCAGAUCAUGUAUGUGUGUGUCUGUGUGAGUCAUUUUAGACUCUUUAUGUUGCUUCCUUCCCCUUCUGUCUCUUUUCACCUUCCCCAUCCUCGAUGCCUCGGGGGAUGAAACUGACUCAGUUACAUCAGACCAAACAACCCCCCCGCCUGUCUUUAGCCCUCUCACAUAUGCACACACACAUUUGUUUGUCCACACUCUAGAACCACAUUAGUGUGUUUGACCUUAUUGAUUAAUUGUUUUCUAUUGAUACAAAUCAGGAUGAUCCAUCAUUGAUGUCUCUGUUUACGGGCAGAGAUGAGUUGAUAGUGAUGGAUAACAGAUUAAUCAGUAAACACUGUGAACUAAGAGCACGGGCACACACACACACACACACAGACAUGAACACAGUGUUUUGGUGGAUUUCAGAUUUAGACUAAAGCUAUUAGUUCACAGCUUGUUUCUGCUUUAAAACAAAUUUCAAAGGUUCAUUUUGAUGUAAAAACAAAAGAAAAAUGUAAAGAGAGUAUGUAAAAACAAACAAAAAAGAACAGAUUACCUGUAAACCAAAGUGUAGAGAAACACACCAACUUACAUAAAUAAACAGAUAUUAAUGUUACGUAUUGUUUAUAUAGGAUCCCUUACAGAGUUGAAUGAUGUUAGACUGUCUCAGCAUUACAACUGGGAGGUGAACAUACAUGAAAUUCUAGUAUUUGCCAAAGAAGUCCACAAGAAUGAUUUUUCUAUCCCAAGUACACGCGUGCAAUUUUGUUCCUGUCAACCCCAUCACACCCCUUCACUUCCACCCACCCGUCUUUUUUAGAGAUUCAUGUUUAUUAAUUCAUGUUAAUUAAUUUUAUUAAUUAAUAUUUUUUAAGUUAGGUAUUGGAAAGAGUAAAUGAAAAUUUGUUGAUACUUGAUUAAUUUAGCAAAAUAAGCACAUUAUGCUUAAUUGAGGCAUAUUUGUCCUUUUAUUUAAAAGUUGAUGUGACUGAUAAGGUCACAGGAUCAGCUUUUCAAAUUUUGUUCUGAUGUAGAAAAUGAAGAUCCUAGCUGUUUAUAGAAAAUAAACAUAACCAAUACUCACUCUUUAAUUAAAACUGUCAAAAUAAAAAUAAAAAAUUCUGAUGA